This 301-nucleotide ribosomal RNA is filed under the name uncultured bacterium. RNAcentral describes it as "partial 16S ribosomal RNA". It matches the Rfam family "Bacterial small subunit ribosomal RNA", at positions 509 to 809 of the family's 1533-position model. The record is from RNAcentral.
CAGUCGCCGCGGUAAUACGAGGGGGGCAAGCGUUGUUCGGAAUUAUUGGGCGUAAAGGGUGCGUUGGCGGCCAGGCAAGUCUUGUGUGAAAUCGAUGGGCUCAACCCAUCGUCUGCACAGGAAACUGCAGGGCUUGAGGAUGGGAGAGGUAAGUGGAAUUCCGAGUGUAGAGGUGAAAUUCGUAGAUAUUCGGAAGAACACCAGUGGCGAAGGCGGCUUACUGGCUCAUUCUAGACGCUGAGGUGCGAAAGCGUGGGGAGCAAACAGGAUUAGAUACCCGGGUAGUCCCUGUCUCUUAUAA